UAGGUAAGUGCGUGGAGUGCCUACCCUAACUUGACGCGUGUCUUGUUGGGAAAGUGUUUAGUGGCAUGGGAUGGGGCCGCGUCCUAUCAGCUUGUAGGCGGGGUAAUGGCCCACCUAGGCUUCGACGGGUAGCCGGCCUGAGAGGGCGGACGGCCACAUUGGGACUGAGAUACGGCCCAGACUCCUACGGGAGGCAGCAGUA
This 202-nucleotide ribosomal RNA is filed under the name uncultured Gardnerella sp. RNAcentral's name for it is "partial 16S ribosomal RNA". It matches the Rfam family "Bacterial small subunit ribosomal RNA", at positions 150 to 355 of the family's 1533-position model. Lineage: Bacteria; Bacillati; Actinomycetota; Actinomycetes; Bifidobacteriales; Bifidobacteriaceae. The record is from RNAcentral.